UCACAAACUUCCCGAGCUGUCGCAACUCUUCCCCCUCCCCCCCCAUCCCCAUCCGCACCUGUUAGGUGAUUAUCCUGCAUCUAGCAACUCUGUCCGGCGCCCCACUAUAUAAAGUGCUGCAACUGCUCAUGGUGCACAGUUUGGGACAAUCAGCUCAACUUCACCAACAUGAAAUUCGUGUCUCUCUUGCUCGCUGUGGCGAUGGCUCUGUCUGCCCUGCUGGGGACAGCACGAGCCAUGCCUGAGCCAGAAGCCCUGGCCGACGCCGACCCUUGGGCUCAUGGCGUAGGCUAUGGAGGCUACGGACGAGGACGUUACUACGGAGGAGGAGGCUAUCGCAGAGGCUAUUAUGGACGCGGCCACGGCUGGUGAGACUCCGAACGAUGACUCCUGCCGAAGCUUCUGCUCUCGCUUUAUCUGAAGGACGACGAACCGAUUUCCGAUUUUGCUACAUGAAAAUAAACCAAUUUUAAUUUUA
Molecule: long non-coding RNA, 478 nt
Filed under: Penaeus chinensis
Lineage: Eukaryota; Metazoa; Arthropoda; Malacostraca; Decapoda; Penaeidae
Description: uncharacterized LOC125031815
Source: RNAcentral